This 457-nucleotide ribosomal RNA is filed under the name uncultured bacterium. Its description in RNAcentral is "SSU rRNA". It matches the Rfam family "Bacterial small subunit ribosomal RNA", at positions 26 to 518 of the family's 1533-position model. The record is from RNAcentral.
AGAAUCAACGCUGGCGGCGUGCCUAACACAUGCAAGUCGCACGAGAAAGGGGAGCAAUCCCUGAGUACAGUGGCGCACGGGUGAGUAACACGUGAAUCAUCUACCUCCGAGUGGGGAAUAACUGAGAGAAAUCUUAGCUAAUACCGCAUAAUACCCACGGGUCAAAGCAGCAAUGCGCUUGGAGAGGAGUUCGCGGCAGAUUAGUUAGUUGGCGGGGUAAUGGCCCACCAAGACGAUGAUCUGUAUCCGGCCUGAGAGGGCGCACGGACACACUGGAACUGAAACACGGUCCAGACUCCUACGGGAGGCAGCAGUGGGGAAUUUUGCGCAAUGGGGGAAACCCUGACGCAGCAACGCCGCGUGGAGGAUGAAGCCCCUGGGGUGUAAACUCUUUCGAUCGGGAGAUAAUGACGGUACCGAUAUAAGAAGCCCCGGCUAACUUCGCGCCAGCAGCCGC